GGUUAAGCGACUAAGCGUACACGGUGGAUGCCCUGGCAGUCAGAGGCGAUGAAGGACGUGCUAAUCUGCGAUAAGCGUCGGUAAGGUGAUAUGAACCGUUAUAACCGGCGAUUUCCGAAUGGGGAAACCCAGUGUGAUUCGUCACACUAUCAUUAACUGAAUCCAUAGGUUAAUGAGGCGAACCGGGGGAACUGAAACAUCUAAGUACCCCGAGGAAAAGAAAUCAACCGAGAUUCCCCCAGUAGCGGCGAGCGAACGGGGAGCAGCCCAGAGCCUGAAUCAGUGUGUGUGUUAGUGGAAGCGUCUGGAAAGGCGCGCGAUACAGGGUGACAGCCCCGUACACAAAAAUGCACAUAUUGUGAGCUCGAUGAGUAGGGCGGGACACGUGGUAUCCUGUCUGAAUAUGGGGGGACCAUCCUCCAAGGCUAAAUACUCCUGACUGACCGAUAGUGAACCAGUACCGUGAGGGAAAGGCGAAAAGAACCCCGGCGAGGGGAGUGAAAAAGAACCUGAAACCGUGUACGUACAAGCAGUGGGAGCACGCUCAGGCGUGUGA
Molecule: ribosomal RNA, 556 nt
Filed under: Escherichia coli
Lineage: Bacteria; Pseudomonadati; Pseudomonadota; Gammaproteobacteria; Enterobacterales; Enterobacteriaceae
Description: partial 23S ribosomal RNA
Rfam family: Bacterial large subunit ribosomal RNA
Source: RNAcentral